UACAGAGGUCUCAAGCGUUGUUCGGAAUUACUGGGCGUAAAGGGCGCGUAGGCGGCCUGCUAAGUCGAACGUGAAAUCCCUGGGCUCAACCCAGGAACUGCGUCCGAUACUGGUUGGCUUGAAUCCGGGAGAGGGAUGCGGAAUUCCAGGUGUAGCGGUGAAAUGCGUAGAUAUCUGGAGGAACACCGGUGGCGAAGGCGGCAUCCUGGACCGGCAUUGACGCUGAGGCGCGAAAGCCAGGGGAGCAAACGGG
RNAcentral lists this ribosomal RNA (253 nucleotides) under uncultured bacterium. RNAcentral's name for it is "partial 16S ribosomal RNA". It matches the Rfam family "Bacterial small subunit ribosomal RNA", at positions 524 to 776 of the family's 1533-position model. The record is from RNAcentral.